GGAUGAGUAGGCACGUCCAGCCUAGAACUACCUCCUCAUUGAUGGACAGAUUCUGCACUUGGUCAGCCAGUUUCUUCAUCAGCGCCUCCAGCUGUGCCUGCCGCUCCUCACAGUCCUCCAUCUGCAGCUCCAGGUUGUCCUCUGUGUUUCUCUGAGCCAGGAACCGGCCAGCGAUGUCCUGGUGGGGCCUGUGUGGGGAGGAGCAGGUGUGGGCCAGGUGGGCACAAGCCCCACAGUAUUGGUCUCUUCUGAGUCAGGGAUGAUGCUGACCGUGGCCAGGCACCAGGUGUAGCACUUGAUGCGAGUCACCACAUGUGACCCAUGCUUCAGGCAAAGAGGACAGAUGCCCCAAGGCAGAGACCAGGAGACCACCCCUGGAAGACUGCCUGGCUUGGAGCCACUUGUCUCAGGAUGGACAAGCUUAUAUCAGGGCUGCUAAGGCUUAACUAAUAAUAAGCCCAGAUCGGAUUAAACUGAGGGCCAGGCAGAAGUGGCUUCUCACUAUAGUCCUAGCCCUUUGGGAAGGGAUGUAGUUGUCGGCAGAGGAGGCAGCCCUUGGAUCCUGGAUCCCAGCAGGCUCCGCAUGCCCCCUGGAAUGCGACUCAGGCCAGAGUGUGCUCUGCUCCCUGCCACAGGGGCCACACCUCCAUGUCCCCUCAUUCAACGGGCUCAGCUGGGUCUUGGGCUGUGGCAGGGGCUCCCUGCCUUUCACCCACACCCCAGGAGAGCCUGAGGGCAGUACCCAGAAAUGAGUGCACCGCACAGCAGACUUCACUUUCUUUUUUUUUUUUUAAGAUUUUAUUUAUUUAUUCAUAGAGACAGAGAGAGAGGCAGAGACACAGGCAGAGAGAGAAGCAGGCUCCAUGCAGGGAGCCCGACGUGGGACUCGAUCCAGGGUCUCCAGGAUCAUGCCCUGGGCUGCAGGCGGCGCUAAACCGCUGCGCCACCGGGGCUGCCCCAGACUUCACUUUCUCCACCAAAGCUGUGACUUCUAUCUGGUAUUCGAUGUCGGCCUUGGAGAUCUCUCUUCUCCUCACUGGGCAGAGCAGAAGGGAAAGGAAGAAAGGCUGGCAUGCAGAAGUGGCUUGGGAGCUCUGCUCUGGGCCGUCAGUCACUUCUGUACAUGCCCAGGCAUCAGGGGAGGCCACCAGCAAGCUGCCUGUCCUUCACCUGCUCCCCCCUCCACUGGCCCUUCUGUCUAGAAGCAUCCUGGUCCAUGUGGGUACUUUGUGGUACUUCUCUGAGGCAGCACAGGGGCCCAAAAGGCUGGAUUUAUCUCUUUUGAGGAAUCACUGGGUGAUUGAGCCCUGGGGUUCCAGGGGAUAGCUGAAAAGCUGGGGACCCAGCCGCUCCUGGCAGUGAGCCCAAGGCUGGGAGCAGUGCAGGGCAGUGUGGGCUGGGGCUGCUGGCACUCUGCAGGUAGCACUGCAGGGAGGCAGGGUUGCCCUGGCCUCACAGAGACCUGACAGGAUGGCCUGAGCUGGUGCUGGCCUCUUGGGACCCUGGCUGGGGGUGGCAGAGGGCUGAGCGCUCACCUUUCAGUUUCUGUACCCAUCAGAUUGGAGGGGAGUCCAAGUCCCACCAGCCCUGGAGGGAAGGGGGAUGUGAGGAUUCGGAUGCCCCUGACCUCCAGAGCUCCACUCAAGCAUCAUCUCUCUGAGCAGGUGAGUGCCCCAGGGUGGCCCCACAUCACCCACUCCUCCCUCUGCAGCACUGGCCCAGGGCUGUAUGAUAUCUCCUCACAGACUACUGGAUGGCUUCUUACCCUGCUCUCCUCGUGAGGAUGAUGCAGGGGCUUUGAGUAGGCCUUGGCACAGACCGGGUGAAGGGCCGGGUGAAUUCCCUCUUGUGUCUACCUCAAGGCUCCCUUGCCUGGUGGGACCCUCUCCAUCCAGGGCCAUCGUGUGUGUGUGUGUGUGUGUGUGUGUGUGUGUGUGUGUGUGUGUGAGGCAGCUAGUAAUUGCAGACAGGAUGGGUUUGGGGGUGUUCCUACAAACCCUGGGCCAGAUGGGUAUGUGAGGGAGCCCUGCAGGACCCCAGGCCCUAUGGCUCCAGCUCACCUUGA
Long non-coding RNA from Nyctereutes procyonoides (raccoon dog), 2065 nucleotides. RefSeq lists it as uncharacterized. The transcript has 3 exons. The record is from RefSeq and is a predicted model, not a curated record. NCBI's taxonomy places the organism in Eukaryota, Metazoa, Chordata, Mammalia, Carnivora, Canidae.